Molecule: ribosomal RNA, 460 nt
Filed under: Streptococcus mitis
Lineage: Bacteria; Bacillati; Bacillota; Bacilli; Lactobacillales; Streptococcaceae
Description: bacterial SSU rRNA
Rfam family: Bacterial small subunit ribosomal RNA
Source: RNAcentral
GACGAACGCUGGCGGCGUGCCUAAUACAUGCAAGUAGAACGCUGAAGGAGGAGCUUGCUUCUCUGGAUGAGUUGCGCACGGGUGAGUAACGCGUAGGUAACCUGCCUGGUAGCGGGGGAUAACUAUUGGAAACGAUAGCUAAUACCGCAUAAGAGUAGAUGUUGCAUGACAUUUGCUUAAAAGGUGCAAUUGCAUCACUACCAGAUGGACCUGCGUUGUAUUAGCUAGUUGGUGAGGUAACGGCUCACCAAGGCAACGAUACAUAGCCGACCUGAGAGGGUGAUCGGCCACACUGGGACUGAGACACGGCCCAGACUCCUAUGGGAGGCAGCAGUAGGGAAUCUUCGGCAAUGGACGGAAGUCUGACCGAGCAACGCCGCGUGAGUGAAGAAGGUUUUCGGAUCGUAAAGCUCUGUUGUAAGAGAAGAACGAGUGUGAGAGUGGAAAGUUCACACUGGAC